Molecule: long non-coding RNA, 1462 nt
Organism: Engraulis encrasicolus (European anchovy)
Lineage: Eukaryota; Metazoa; Chordata; Actinopteri; Clupeiformes; Engraulidae
Exons: 2
Source: RefSeq, a predicted model, not a curated record
AUGGAGCGCUGCUCCUUUAAGGGAAGUCUGACGCUGCGGCACACGUCACCACGCCGCUCGUAGAGGCUUAUGGGAAGUCUCUUCAUAAACACUGCCAGUGGCUAGUAUUCGGUAAGCCUGCAAAGUUCCCCUUUGCGCGUUUCAUCGCCACCGGCGAAUGCUGUGGUUGCUUCUCCCCUCGCCGUCGAGAGGAGUGCGGUGUCCAGUUCAGAUCUAGGAGAUGUGGACCAUUUCUUGUCCUCGUGAGUAUGUGGACCAUUUCUUGUCGCUGUUUAUGUGCUAGCCAGCAGCUAGUGGCUAACUUCGCGUCUGCUGUUCUAUAGGUUGUGAUUCCAACUUGGCGUCUCUUACUUGGCUAGAGUGAUCUCUUGCUUCUCCACUGGCAAGGACUUCGGUGGACAAUACCAACGGUUACCUUGCGCCUUUCCCGUCUCCUGCACGCCGCGUGUGGUCGCUACCGGCGCCUCGGCCGUGUACCUCUGUAUUGGCACUCCGACUGUGAGAAUCGCGCAUCGGUGCACCCUCAUCUCCGGGUAAGGUAACCUCUCGGCAGCAGAAUCGUGUGAUAGUGGGUGUCCUGCUAGCUUGGCUAACGCUCUCCUCCUCCCUCGCAGGUUGUAUCCGUGUGGCCGUGGUCAGACACACCACGCGUUUAGGUGCACGAGCGGCGACUUUUAGCCCCGGUUGUGUGGUGCCUCUGGAAGUCGGGAACCCGUAUUUCGGCUGCUGCUCCGGCCUCGGAAAUUGGACAUUCGUGUGUGUGUGUGCGUGGGCGCGCUUUGGUUCAGUGUGUGUGUGUGUGUGUGUGUGUGUGUGUGUGGGCGCUCGGCUCGGUGUGAGCUGGUGUGUGAGCCAUUCCACAGUGUGUGUGCGUGUGCGUACGCUGGUGCGUGUGAGUGUGUGUGUGUAGGUAGUGUGGGGAUACCUAGGGGACUGCACUGAGCUGAGCCUCUGGCAUUGGUUUACCUCAUGUUUUGAUUUCGUUUUCUUUCGUUUGCUGUGCCUAAUUUCCCUUUUUUUAUUAUUUCAUUCAAUUAUCUAAUUUCUAAUUUAACUGCAUGUGCUUAUUGGAUUUUGAUUUAUUUUGCAUGGUUGGCUGUGAUUUCUUCUUGUUUCUGUUUGCCGUGAAUUAUUUCUGUUUGUUGUGAACUAUUUCUUUACUUUUCUUUUGUUAAUUCUGAGGUGUGCCAUUGGCCCUAAUGUGUUAGCCGUGCCAGCCCCUAGUGGCACAGUCUGACAACCUGAGUGUGGGUUCUAAGGCCUUAGGCCUACCAGGUGUGUUGUUUAGUGUGAAUUAGCGAACAUACUUUGGGGCAGGUGUUUACAGAUCCGCGGGUGUGGUGGCAGCACGCCCACCCCUGCACUUUACGAAUUGUGAGUAACUUUUUAUAUUUAUUACAGAGAGUGACCAACAUAUUUUUAUACUGAAAAUAAUAAUAAAGAUUUGAAUUAUAAAUUGUCA